RNAcentral lists this ribosomal RNA (468 nucleotides) under uncultured bacterium. Its description in RNAcentral is "partial 16S ribosomal RNA". It matches the Rfam family "Bacterial small subunit ribosomal RNA", at positions 28 to 507 of the family's 1533-position model. The record is from RNAcentral.
GACGAACGCUGGCGGCGUGCUUAACACAUGCAAGUCGAACGGAAAGGCCCUGCUUUUGUGGGGUGCUCGAGUGGCGAACGGGUGAGUAACACGUGAGUAACCUGCCCUUGACUUUGGGAUAACUUCAGGAAACUGGGGCUAAUACCGGAUAGGAGCUCCUGCUGCAUGGUGGGGGUUGGAAAGUUUCGGCGGUUGGGGAUGGACUCGCGGCUUAUCAGCUUGUUGGUGGGGUAGUGGCUUACCAAGCAUUUGACGGGUAGCCGGCCUGAGAGGGUGACCGGCCACAUUGGGACUGAGAUACGGCCCAGACUCCUACGGGAGGCAGCAGUGGGGAAUAUUGCACAAUGGGCGGAAGCCUGAUGCAGCAACGCCGCGUGCGGGAUGACGGCCUUCGGGUUGUAAACCGCUUUCGCCUGUGACGAAGCGUGAGUGACGGUAAUGGGUAAAGAAGCACCGGCUAACUACGUG